CAGCCAGUUACUCCCGGAAGUGCUGGGACGGGUGGUGAGGGGCCCGGGCAGGUGGCGCGCCUUACAGCGGACGGUGUUCGUGCUGCUUUCUGUGCUGUAUUUUCUGAAAGCUUAAAUACAGACCAGAAGAGGAGUUUGGGGCUUGACACCUGACAUCUUAACACCAGUUCCUGUUUCUUGAGGAAGGAAGAGGUAAAAUAAAUCAGCGUUUACUGUGUAGUUCUCCAUCCCCAGAAGUCCUGAUGAAGACCCUCUCAGCUUCUACUUGAACGUGAAUAUGAGCAACUGAUCAUCUGUUCUGAAGUCAGCCCCUGGCCUGAUUCUGACUCAUGGUAUUGACCUUCUCCAUCAUCACCUUCCACAAAUUUGAUUCCUAUCUAUUCUGCCUGGAAUGGUUCACGAGUAUAAUCACCAUUUAUGUUCCUGACGAAAGCAGGUGAAGACAUUCGUUGAGAGAGGCAAUUUCCAUGCGUGCAGGCAAAGUGUGUGCUGAGAUGAUGAGUUGCUGGAGACCAGGGUGGACUCUUCAGACCCAGAAUAGGCCUCUGGCAGGCAUUCUAUCAGGCACUCCAAGCUGUGAAGUGCAUGGGGGGAGAAAGAAGAGAUUUCAGAGAAUGAACACAUACAGAGAGAGAGGCAAGAGAUGGUGAGUGGGGAUGUCUUGCAUACUGAUAUCCUGAGGAAAGUGGGAAAAUUGGACCCUGGCUUGCUCUGCCAAUGCCGUGAAGCAGUCCGCACCAGGGGCUCCCUUGUGCCUGCAUAGCCUUUCCCAGGGUGUGCUCAAAUCCUUUGGCCACUAGGUGUCCUAGGUCACAAUGGAGGACCCUGUGUCAUCUGCCUGGUGGACUGGAUCUCUGCCAUUGGCUAAGUCUUGUCACCAGGCCCAUCAUAAGCUCUGCCCACUCUUCCGGUGGGGAGACUCUCUCCAUGGUGAUGGCAAAGAAACCUUAGUCCCGCCCACCUGGCCUUGACUUCACCUACCUGGCCUGCUGACCCUCACCCAGACCUCUGUGUGGAUGAAAAUGAAUGUCCACCAGUGGCCCAGUGUCAGCGUCUGGUAUAAAGGAUUCGGGACGUUUCCUGAGGCAGAAGGCAGCCUACGUCUGCGGGUACCUGGAAGUCUAGUGACUUGUGAUGCUGCUGCCAGUGAGAAAUGGUGACUCCCACACUCACAUAUCCCCUGGUGGCAGAAUGAUAGUGAUGGGUGGAGAAACAUGGCUCCGGAGCACAUGUUCAGUGGGGCACCGGCCAAAUGUCAGGGCCAGGAGUGGACGUCGUGGAGCUGCAUGGCGUGCCAGUGAAGGGCCCAAGGAUUUCUCCAAUGAGGCAAAAUGCAGAUCAAGCCAAGGAACACAAAGAUAAAGCAGCUGAAGAAAUUAAAAAGGUUACUCAAGAACAUAGUUAAAAAUUUAAUAAGCUGCAAGAAACCAUAGAGAGACUGCAAUCAGAGAUUCAGAAGAUUAACAAUAAAAUUACAGAGUCAGAAAACUCAAUAGAAAGUAAUAAGAGCACAAUUGAGGAAUUGGAAGGCAGAAUUACUGAGAUGGAAGAUCAAACUCUUGGGACUAAUAUAUUUGAAGAGAAAGCAGAUAAAAGAAUUUUAAAUGAAGAAAUCCAAAGAAUCAUGUGGGACUUUAUCAAGAGAAAUAACUAUGAGUGAUUUCAGUACCAGAACAGGGAGGGCUAACAGAAAAUACAGAGGGAACUGUUGAAGAUUUGUUGGCAGAACUUCCCUGAUAUCAUGAAAGAUGCUCAUCGAAUUCCACAUACGGUAGAUCUCAAAAGAAAGUGACCGAGACACAUAAUAAUCAAACUUGCCAAAAUCAAAUAUAAAGAGAAUUUUAAGAGAGGCUAGGGAUAAAGGAAGUCACCAACAAAGGAGAGUAAAUAAUAAAAAACUUGGACUACUCAGCAGAAAUCAUGCAGGCAAGAAGGCAAAGGGAUGACUUACACAAAAUAUUGAAGGAAAAAAAUUGCCAGCCAGGAAUCAAACCAUAACCCUGGCCCUCUGGCCUUCGGGCCCUCUGGCCUUAGCCCUCUAACUCUAGCCCCUAAGCCCUGAGCCCCAAAGCCCCUAAGACCCUAAGCCCUUAGGUCCUAACCCCCAAGGCCCUAAACUCUAACCCUAACCCAAACCCUAACCCCUAUUCCCUAAACUCUACAACCUAAACACCUACACCCCAAAACACUACACAUCAAAACCCUACACACUAAACCCUAUACUCUAAGCCUCAAACCCUAAACCCAAACCUCAAAUCCCAAACCCCAAACCCUAAACCUAACCGUAAACCCUAAACCCUAACACCUAACCCUAACCCCUAACCACCCUAACCCUAAUGACCCUAACCCUCGAACCCUAACCCUCUAACGCUAACAUGAAACCCUAAUCCGAAACCCUAACCCUCUAACUCUAACCUCUAACCCUAACCCUCUAACCCUAGCCCUAAUCCUAACCCCAACCUCCAAACCUAACCCCAAACCCUAAACCUCAAAUCCCUAGCCCUAAACCUAAGAAUGAGCCUAAGCCUAACCCUAUCACUUAACUCUAAACCCUAAACCAUAACACUUAAAACCCUAACACCCUUAGCCCUAACACAUUUAACCCUAACACCCUAAACGCCAAAACCCUAAACACUAACACCCUUAACUCCAACCCCUAACCCCUAAACCCUAAGCUUAAACACUAAACCGUCUAACCCUCUAACCCUAAUACCCUAAACCCUAACCCCAGCCCCCAGCCUUAACGCUCACUCUAAGCCUUAAACCUUAAGCCCUAAACCCUAGGCUCUAAGCCCUAAGCCCUAAACUCUAAAUCCUAAAACCCUAAACUCUAAGCCCUAAGCCUAACCCUCUAAUCCUAAACCCUAAAACCUUACCCCAAACCCAUCCCAAACCCCUAAACCUGAACCCCUAAGCCCUAGCCCUAACCCUAAUCCUCUAAGCCUAACCCUCUAACCCUAACUCUCUAACCCUAACCACAACACCAACCCCAACCUCUGAACCCAAAAACCCUAACCCCCUAACCCCAAGCUUCUGAACCCUAAGCCUAAACCCUCUAACCCUAAAUCCUAACCUUCACCCCCUCACACCCUCACCUUCUCACUCCCUCACUCUAUAAUCUUCUCAACUUCUAACCCCCUCACCCUCUAACCCCUCACCCUCUAACUCCCUCAAUCUCUAACCCCCAACCCUCUAGACCCCAACCCUCUAACACCCACCCUCUAACCCCAAACCACAUAUCCCAAACAGACCCAACACCAACCCCAACCCUAAACCUAAACCCUGACCCCUAAAACCUAAACCAAACCCUAACGACUAAACCCCAAAACCCUAAACCCCAAACUGCAACCCCUAACACCUAACCUUAACUCCAAACUCUAACCUCAAACCCUAAACCUAACCCUAACACCUAACCCCAACCAAAAAACCCUAACCCUAAACUCUAACCCCAAACCCUAACGACCCUAACUCUAACAACCCUAACCUUAACAUCCCUAAGCCCAAACCCUAACCCUUUUUGUUAGCAGCCAUAGCACUUAACCACUAGCCACCAGGGUUUCCAUGAGCAGUCACAGGAAUAGACACAUGCACACCCGUGUUCACUGCAACAUUAUUCACAGUUGCAAAAAGAUGGAAACAACCUAAGUGCUCGUCCACAGAGGAAUGGAUAAACAAACUACGGUACAUACACAGUGGAACACUACACGACAAUAAAGACCAAUGAUGAAUCUCCGAAACAUCUCACACCAUGGAUGAAUCUGGGGCGCAUCACACUAAGUCAAUCACAAAACGUCAUAUACAGUAAGAGACCACUAUCAUAAAAACUCAUGAAAACAUUUACGCACAGAAACAAUCCUUGAUGUUCACCAGGGAGACGAAGAGCGGGUAGAGAAAAGCCAACUAAACAAUAACCAAAAAAACCAAA
Loxodonta africana (African savanna elephant) is the source of this 3925-nucleotide long non-coding RNA. RefSeq lists it as uncharacterized. The transcript has 5 exons. NCBI's taxonomy places the organism in Eukaryota, Metazoa, Chordata, Mammalia, Proboscidea, Elephantidae. The record is from RefSeq and is a predicted model, not a curated record.